UACGGCGGGUGCGAGCGUUAAUCGGAAUUACUGGGCGUAAAGCGUACGUAGGCGGUUGGGUAAUUCGGAUGUGAAAGCCCUGGGCUUAACCUGGGAACUGCAUUCGAUACUGCUCGGCUAGAGUAUGGGAGAGGGAAGCGGAAUUUCCGGUGUAGCGGUGAAAUGCGUAGAUAUCGGAAGGAAAACCAAUGGCGAAGGCAGCUUCCUGGCCCAAUACUUACGCCCAGGUGCCACAGCGUGGGGAUCAAACAGG
RNAcentral lists this ribosomal RNA (253 nucleotides) under uncultured bacterium. RNAcentral describes it as "partial 16S ribosomal RNA". It matches the Rfam family "Bacterial small subunit ribosomal RNA", at positions 524 to 776 of the family's 1533-position model. The record is from RNAcentral.